RNAcentral lists this ribosomal RNA (412 nucleotides) under uncultured bacterium. Its description in RNAcentral is "bacterial SSU rRNA". It matches the Rfam family "Bacterial small subunit ribosomal RNA", at positions 355 to 775 of the family's 1533-position model. The record is from RNAcentral.
UCGAGAAUCUUCGGCAAUGGGCGCAAGCCUGACCGAGCGACGCCGCGUGCGCGAUGAAGGCCUUCGGGUUGUAAAGCGCUGUCGAGGGGGAGGAAAGCCGCAAGGCAUGACCUAUCCCUGGAGGAAGGACGGGCUAAGUUCGUGCCAGCAGCCGCGGUAAGACGAACCGUCCAAACGUUGUUCGGAAUCACUGGGCUUAAAGGGCGCGUAGGCGGACCCGCCCGUCCGGGGUGAAAGCUUUCGGCUCAACCGGAAAAGUGCCUUGGAUACCGCGGGUCUAGAGGGAGGUAGGGGCAUGUGGAACUUCUGGUGGAGCGGUGAAAUGCGUUGAUAUCAGAAGGAACGCCGGUGGCGAAAGCGACGUGCUGGACCUCUACUGACGCUGAGGCGCGAAAGCCAGGGGAGCAAACGG